GACGAACCGUGCGAACGUUAUUCGGAAUCACUGGGCUUAAAGCGCGUGUAGGCGGGACGGCACGUCGGUCGCUGAAAGCCCCCGGCUCAACCGGGGAACGGGCGCCGAUACGACCGGCCUGGAGGGACGUAGGGGGACCUGGAACUUCCGGUGGAGCGGUGAAAUGCGUUGAGAUCGGAAGGAACGCCCGUGGCGAAAGCGGCUACCUGGACCAGCACUGACACUGAAGCACGAAAGCGUGGGGAGCAAACAGG
Molecule: ribosomal RNA, 254 nt
Filed under: uncultured bacterium
Lineage: Bacteria
Description: partial 16S ribosomal RNA
Rfam family: Bacterial small subunit ribosomal RNA
Source: RNAcentral